RNAcentral lists this ribosomal RNA (483 nucleotides) under uncultured bacterium. RNAcentral describes it as "partial 16S ribosomal RNA". It matches the Rfam family "Bacterial small subunit ribosomal RNA", at positions 28 to 522 of the family's 1533-position model. The record is from RNAcentral.
GAUGAACGCUGGCGGCGUGCUUAACACAUGCAAGUCGAACGGUGAAGCAGGAGCUUGCUCUUGUGGAUCAGUGGCGAACGGGUGAGUAACACGUGAGCAACCUGCCCCUGACUCUGGGAUAAGCGCUGGAAACGGCGUCUAAUACUGGAUAUGUGAUGUGACCGCAUGGUCUGCAUCUGGAAAGAAUUUCGGUUGGGGAUGGGCUCGCGGCCUAUCAGCUUGUUGGUGAGGUAAUGGCUCACCAAGGCGUCGACGGGUAGCCGGCCUGAGAGGGUGACCGGCCACACUGGGACUGAGACACGGCCCAGACUCCUACGGGAGGCAGCAGUGGGGAAUAUUGCACAAUGGGCGGAAGCCUGAUGCAGCAACGCCGCGUGAGGGAUGACGGCCUUCGGGUUGUAAACCUCUUUUAGCAGGGAAGAAGCGAAAGUGACGGUACCUGUAGAAAAAGCACCGGCUAACUACGUGCCAGCCGCCGCCUAA